Molecule: ribosomal RNA, 407 nt
Filed under: uncultured bacterium
Lineage: Bacteria
Description: bacterial SSU rRNA
Rfam family: Bacterial small subunit ribosomal RNA
Source: RNAcentral
UGGGGGAUAUUGCACAAUGGGGGGAACCCUGAUGCAGCAACGCCGCGUGAGGGAAGAAGGUUUUCGGAUUGUAAACCUCUGUCGUAGGUGAAGAAAGAAAUGACGGUAGCCUACAAGGAAGCUCCGGCUAACUACGUGCCAGCAGCCGCGGUAAUACGUAGGGAGCGAGCGUUGUCCGGAAUUACUGGGUGUAAAGGGUGCGUAGGCGGCAAUGCAAGUCAGGUGUGAAAACCAUAGGCUUAACCUAUGGACUGCACUUGAAACUGUGUUGCUUGAGUGAAGUAGAGGUAGGCGGAAUUCCCGGUGUAGCGGUGAAAUGCGUAGAGAUCGGGAGGAACACCAGUGGCGAAGGCGGCCUACUGGGCUUUAACUGACGCUGAGGCACGAAAGCGUGGGUAGCAAACAGG